UACGGAGGGUGCAAGCGUUAAUCGGAAUUACUGGGCGUAAAGCGCACGCAGGUGGCUGAGAAAGUCGAUUGUGAAAGCCCUGGGCUUAACCUGGGAAUUGCAGUCGAAACUACUCGGCUAGAGUAUGGGAGAGGGUAGUGGAAUUCCCGGUGUAGCGGUGAAAUGCGUAGAUAUCUGCAGGAACACCCGUGGCGAAAGCGGCGCGCUGGACCACAACUGACGCUGAAUGACGAAAGCUAGGGGAGCAAACAGG
This 253-nucleotide ribosomal RNA is filed under the name uncultured prokaryote. Its description in RNAcentral is "partial 16S ribosomal RNA". It matches the Rfam family "Bacterial small subunit ribosomal RNA", at positions 524 to 776 of the family's 1533-position model. The record is from RNAcentral.